Molecule: ribosomal RNA, 622 nt
Filed under: uncultured bacterium
Lineage: Bacteria
Description: bacterial SSU rRNA
Rfam family: Bacterial small subunit ribosomal RNA
Source: RNAcentral
UUAAGUGCUCCGCCUGGGAAGUACGGUCGCAAGACUAAAACUCAAAGGAAUUGACGGGGACCCGCACAAGCGGUGGAGCAUGUGGUUUAAUUCGAUAAUAAGCGAAAAACCUCACCAAGGCUUGACAUCUUGAUCAUAUUUCUAGGAAACUAGAAAGUCAGUUCGGCUGGAUCAAUGACAGGCGCUGCAUGGUUGUCGUCAGCUCGUAUCGUGAGAUGUACGGUUAAGUCCGGUAACGAGCGCAACCCUCAUCGUAUGUUAUAUACAUGCGAGACUGCCGUGGUUAACACGGAGGAAGGUGGGGACAACGUCAAAUCAGCAUGGCCCUUACGCCUUGGGCUACACACGUGCUACAAUGGGGAGUACAAAGGGUUGCCAAAGUGCAAACUGGAGCUAAUCCUAAAAACUCCUCCCAGUUCGGAUUGAGGUCUGAAAUUCGACCUCAUGAAGUUGGAAUCGCUAGUAAUCGUGAAUCAGCACGUCACGGUGAAUACGUUCUCGGGUCUUGUACACACCGCCCGUCACGUCAAGAGAGUUGGUAAUACCCGAACCUCGAUGUUAUAUCGUGGGAAGGUAGGACCAGCAAUAGGGAUGAAGUCGUAACAAGGUAACCAAGGGCGAA